GGCGGCAUAGCUCAGCUGGUAGAGCAGUGGAAUCAUAAUCCAUGGGUCGGGGGUUCGAGUCCCUCUGCCGCUACCA
Molecule: transfer RNA, 76 nt
Filed under: Gemmatimonadota bacterium
Lineage: Bacteria; Pseudomonadati; Gemmatimonadota
Description: Gemmatimonadetes bacterium tRNA-Met
Rfam family: tRNA
About the family: Transfer RNA (tRNA) molecules are approximately 80 nucleotides in length. Their secondary structure includes four short double-helical elements and three loops (D, anti-codon, and T loops). Further hydrogen bonds mediate the characteristic L-shaped molecular structure. tRNAs have two regions of fundamental functional importance: the anti-codon, which is responsible for specific mRNA codon recognition, and the 3' end, to which the tRNAs corresponding amino acid is attached (by aminoacyl-tRNA synthetases). tRNAs cope with the degeneracy of the genetic code in two manners: having more than one tRNA (with a specific anti-codon) for a particular amino acid; and 'wobble' base-pairing, i.e. permitting non-standard base-pairing at the 3rd anti-codon position.
Source: RNAcentral